GUUUGGUUAAGUUAGAAAGGGCGCACGGUGGAUGCCUUGACACUAGGAGUCGAUGAAGGACGGGACUAACGCCGAUAUGCUUCGGGGAGCUGUAAGUAAGCUUUGAUCCGAAGAUUUCCGAAUGGGGAAACCCACCAUACGUAAUGGUAUGGUAUCCUUAUCUGAAUACAUAGGGUAAGGAAGACAGACCCAGGGAACUGAAACAUCUAAGUACCUGGAGGAAGAGAAAGCAAAUGCGAUUUCCUGAGUAGCGGCGAGCGAAACGGAACAUAGCCCAAACCAAGAGGCUUGCCUCUUGGGGUUGUAGGACAUUCUAUACGGAGUUACAAAGGAACGAGGUAGACGAAGCGACCUGGAAAGGUCCGUCGUAGAGGGUAACAACCCCGUAGUCGAAACUUCGUUCUCUCUUGAAUGUAUCCUGAGUACGGCGGAACACGUGAAAUUCCGUCGGAAUCUGGGAGGACCAUCUCCCAAGGCUAAAUACUCCCUAGUGAUCGAUAGUGAACCAGUACCGUGAGGGAAAGGUGAAAAGCACCCCGGAAGGGGAGUGAAAGAGAUCCUGAAACCGUGUGCCUACAAA
RNAcentral lists this ribosomal RNA (580 nucleotides) under Bacillus cereus. RNAcentral's name for it is "bacterial LSU rRNA". It matches the Rfam family "Bacterial large subunit ribosomal RNA", at positions 1 to 570 of the family's 2925-position model. Lineage: Bacteria; Bacillati; Bacillota; Bacilli; Caryophanales; Bacillaceae. The record is from RNAcentral.